GUCUCUCAGUGUCUGUGUCUCAAUUCCCCAUCUCUCUAGGUUUUCUCCACCACCAUUAUCAUCUAACCACCGCCGCCACCGAAAACCACCAUCAUCUUCGUAACCACCACCUGCCCAACCUCCGGUAACCACGAGAUCCACCACCAUAACAAAGAUGACGUUUGAUACCUCGACGAAGAUCUAACGGGAGUCCUUUCAUCCACCCCACGAGUCGCCACCCAUUUAUACUGACCGUAUCUUCGAACCGACUGGCGGAGUUCUAGCGGCAGUUGGCAGUGGUGCAUCCAUUGUUCUGUAUCAGUUCUCCUGAUUCUCCAUUCACCUAAUCGAACCGUAACCACGAGACCGACUGGCGGAGUUCUGGCGGCACGAGAACCUCCUUUUCACUCUCUUUAUUCAACAAUCUAAUCGGUUCUUCUUAUUCUCCAUUCCUCUGUCGCCAUUGAUUUAGUGACGAGGGUUCAGGCAAAUGCAAUGGUGUUAUAGCUGCCCUUUAGAUCUGGGUUACCAGAGAUGGUGGUGAGUGAUUUCUUGAGGGAAUUAAUGAGUGUUGAUGGUGGUUCCUGAGAAAGGUAAAGUUGGAGAGACGAGAGAGAGAGAGAGAGAAAGGGUUAGAGAUAGAGAGAGUUUGAGAGAUAAGGGUUUAUAAUUCUAUACUUUGUUUUAAAUAAAAAAAAUUUUUAAAGAUAUAAAUGCCCUCACAGGAGGUGCACAUGU
RNAcentral lists this long non-coding RNA (717 nucleotides) under Helianthus annuus (common sunflower). Its description in RNAcentral is "hypothetical non coding rna". The record is from RNAcentral. Lineage: Eukaryota; Viridiplantae; Streptophyta; Magnoliopsida; Asterales; Asteraceae.